Mytilus californianus (California mussel) is the source of this 1985-nucleotide long non-coding RNA. RefSeq lists it as uncharacterized. Lineage: Eukaryota; Metazoa; Mollusca; Bivalvia; Mytilida; Mytilidae. The record is from RefSeq and is a predicted model, not a curated record. The transcript has 2 exons.
UUGACCAUGGUUUGUCUUUCUAAUUCCUCCUUCGUGUUUUAAGUUUACUGUUAGAACCUGUAUAUCAGGAAGCCUUUUUGAACAUUGUAAAGCUCUUUUAUAUUAUCAGGAUUUUGAUAAAUUCCAAAAAUGUGUUUACAUUGGUCCUGCAUUUACUAUUGAACUGAAUAAUUGUAUCUGUAGAACAUAAUAUAUGGUACUAACAAGUCAAUGUGCAUUUUUGCAUUAUCAAUAUUUACAUUUUUGUUUAUUGUUAACUAUAAGCAACACUUGAUAUAUGAUUUGGAAGAACAACAAUAAAUUGUCCUAUACAUCAUAGAAAGAAAAAAAAACUAUCGCGGGGCAUCACAUGUUUCUUUGAACUAUUUCAAAUCAUCUCUGUAUACUAGGUCUAAUGUUAGAUGCACUAAAUUCAAACUUGCCGCGGGGGCACCAUCUGUGUCACGUUUAUUAUCCUUUUUUCAAGUCAAACUGGUUUUUUAAAAUUAAAAUUGACAUUUACAUUACCCGUCUGAAUCAAUAUAUCUUUCCACAAAAGAAUAGACAUAAAUCAAAUCACAAUUGUUUGUUUACUUUAAAUGAAAUAUGAAGCAUUCGAACUUUUAAUAUAACUUCCUGGACCUGAUUAAAUGAGAAUAUAAUCUGGGAACAUAUUCUGUUUACAAUCUAUACUUUCUUUUCAAUACAGUAAUUUAAAAUUCCCGUAUAACAUUGAAAUUUCCAUGAAUGUAUAUUUAUAUAUGACGUCAGUAAGAUUGUUCUAAAUUUUGGAUUUCGUCCAUAGAUUAUCUUUGUAUGUCAGGGUUAUUGAAAUUUGACCGAUUGACAAAGUUUUAAAUUUAGAAUAUAAAUCGGCCAGUAUUAAUAGCAGGAUACGAUAUUAUUAAGUUUCAACAAGGAUCAUAUAUUUAAAAGAAGCCAAGUGCAAGUAAUACAUCAUGGGCUUAACAAAAAUUCUACAAAGGACAAUUCAAGGUCAGACACAUCGUCAAUUGUCCUACUUUAUGCCAGUGUACGAAUCCUUUAGCAGAAAAACGGAAAAGAAACCUAUACAGUCAGUCUUUAACACUGCGGAAUUCACAUAUUUCCAUGUUUCCACUGGCAAUACGAGGUACAAGCCUGUAAAUAACAAAACACAACACAAUAAAUGGGCCACAGUAAAUAACAAAGACUAUGACCGGCGACAGAACAUGCCAACUGGACGGACCAGAAGUUAAAUUUCAGAGAGAAAUUGGAAGGUCAUCUCUGAUAUCCGUUUUAUUAGGGCAUAGAGAGUUACAUUUUCAUACAGAUAGAGACAAUAUCAUGAAAACAUGUUUUGUGUUUAUAAUUUACAUAACAAGAACAAAAUGCAUUUCUCGUAAUGCUGUCAAACUCGUAAAUACUCUCAGUCUUUCAAUUGUAUACAUAUAAAACUAUAUUUGUAUAUAUAUAUAUUUAAUUUAUUUGUUAGUGCGAAAUAGUGCCUUUAGAGUCUUUAUGACAAUGUAUGAUGAGUUGUCAUAUUAAAGUGAUACCAUGUUGUCUGUAAUAGAAUAUGUUAGUGUAUUAAUGUUAAAAUAUAUUUUAUUUAUAGCUGUAUAGCAAGAUAAAUCUGUGUUGGUGAGUUUUCCAUAUGUUCUGUCUUAUAUUAUUGAAAUUUCCUAUUGUGGUUAAAUUAAACGUAUUUAUUCUGUACUUGAUAUAUUAGUUUUCUUAUGCACCUCACAAGUAAGGAUUUUUGAUCGUUGAAUUUAAAAGUAAGGUUUCAAUUAUUGUUUAUUUAAACUGUUACUAUGUAAUUCCCUUUUAUGAGAAAAAAAAAACAAACUAUCAAGUGUACAAAAAUAAACAAGUAAUAGAUUUAUAUUAGUAUAUAACUGUAAGUAAUAGCUUAUCAACAUCCGAUCUGUAUAUACUCAUCCAUUCAUACUGUACAUGAACCAUUUUUGUAUUUUUCACUUGCAAAUAAAUUAUUCGACUAUGCUUGGUUAGAGCACAUUUUC